Molecule: ribosomal RNA, 253 nt
Filed under: uncultured bacterium
Lineage: Bacteria
Description: partial 16S ribosomal RNA
Rfam family: Bacterial small subunit ribosomal RNA
Source: RNAcentral
UACGUAGGUGGCAAGCGUUGUCCGGAUUUACUGGGCGUAAAGGAUGCGUAGGUGGAUGUUUAAGUCAGAUGUGAAAUACCCGAGCUUAACUUGGGUGCUGCAUUUGAAACUGGAUAUCUAGAGUGCAGGAGAGGUAAGUGGAAUUCCUAGUGUAGCGGUGAAAUGCGUAGAGAUUAGGAAGAACACCAGUGGCGAAGGCGACUUACUGGACUGUAACUGACACUGAGGCAUGAAAGCGUGGGUAGCAAACAGG